GAGCUGACUACCACUGGGAAAGGAUAUCUUCUGAAGAUCCCUCCUCUGGAGUUUUGUAGUGAGCCCAUGACACGACUACAGUGAAACUUUGACGAUGAGGAGGAAAGUGAUGAACACUGUCCUGUCAGCCAUGACUCCAGAGAAAGUCAUUAAAAAUAAACCAGAGUUCCAGCCAGGAAAACCACUUCAGCUUCAGCCUCCUUGACAGGUAGCAAACCGCUGCAUUGGAAAAGAUCUCAGAGACUCCCUGAGGAUGCAUUUGCACUGGUCUGAUGGAUAUUUCAGGCUUCCAUAAACAAAGCAAAUAUUUGACAGCUAUAUUAAAAUGCAGUCAUGACGAUAAGGUGAAUUCUGUGGCUGGAUGAUAUUUUUUUCCCCUGCUGUGUUCUUACUGCCUUGUACAGCAGCAUGAGGGUUUUCAUCAGCCAAAAGGAGACAGUCUGACUGAGUCAAGCAGAGGAAUACAAGCCAAACAGAGGAUGAAAGGAAGAAUGAAUUACUGAUGUCUCUUCCAAAAAUGAUAAAACCUCCAAGAAAUAGGUCACACCACCCACAUCUGUACGCAGAGGGGCCCCCUAUAUCCUUCUUGUGUUCUGCAUCUCUACAAAUCUGGUUUCCGGAACAAGACAAGGUAUUUUCAGAGAGGUCAAUGCCUCACCUAAAAGGCAGUGGAGAUUCCUGCUUAUGGACCUGUUUUUCUUCAACAAGUGUAAGGUGGGAUCUUUUGGCUCAGGUUCACACUAACUAUUUUCACAGAAGUGACAAAUCAUGCUUCACCUUCCAGCCAAUUUUUUCACUGUAACUUUUCCUGGAUAAGUACACUCUUCUUGAUGCAUCCCCACACAUACUUUUUUGUACCUCGUUGUAUGAUCUUACCUUCACUGAAAUGCAAUUUGGUUGUGCCUAACUCAAUUGUUCUCAAUGUAUCCUUUAAGAAUUUUCGUUAUUCCUUAAUCUCUUAUUUAUAUGUUGCAUUCAUAGUCUUAGCGAUGUCUACAACUUGUGAUGGUUUUCUUCUACACCAUGAAUUAAGAUAAAAACAGAUUAACAACUCACUAGAAAUAUGUGUAGUCAGUGGACAGCUCACUAUUUGCAACUACAUUUUUAAGAACAAUGUCACGUUUAAUAUAUUUAGUAUGUACCAUAUUGAUCUUGUAAUGUUCAAGUUUCGCAAUAAGAUGUUUCAUGAAAUCAAAUCAAAUUUCACAUAAAAACUAUUUCUCUCUACAUUUGUAUAACAUCCUAAAGUUCUCAUCAAUACAUAUCAAAUUACUCUGACAAGAUCUAGGUUUUAUUAACCCUUAUUGAUUUGCUUAAAUUAUGUCAUUCUUCUUGCAUAAUAUUACAAUUUCAAUAUCAUGUUAAUAUCUGCUUGUAGCUACCAUCCAUAUACAAGCACAAAAUGCAAUACAAUAAUUAUUUAUAUAUUAUUAUUGUAAGAGUUUGUGAUAGAAGUUUGGAGAACAAGAUAGUAGAUACACAGUUGUGAAGAGCGAGCCCUGGACUGACAAGACAGAAUAUUCACCUCGGGAACUUUAACUUCUCAGAGGUGAGAAAAGGUUGGGAAAAAAAGAAGAGAAAAAAGCUGUCUCUAAGGGAGAAAAGAAAGGAUUUAAAAUGUUAUUUUAAUGAAGAAGGAAAAACGGUAAGGAGAGGAAAAAAUCAGCUAUCAAAGAUGCUCAGAAAGACCAUAGAACAAAGCAGACUGGGGGUUGUUAGAGAUGACAGAAGAAUAUUCAAGGUACUUGUAAUGCUAAAUAGAGGACUCCAGGUUGAAGGAUGAGUGACAGAAAGCAGAACACAAGAGCAAGGCACUAACCUUGUGUAAGCACUGCUUCUGUGUAACUAAAUACUAAUCAUAGUUAAUCAUUGGUAUACACAGGAGAAACAGAAGCCAUGCACACAGAGAAUGCAAUCUCAUGAAAUCUACCCACGGAAGUGAUCCUGUCUAGUAUUUCAGCCUCCUUUCAGGAACCCUAGCCAUAGACAAACAGGGAGUGAUGCCAAAACUGGCUGGUGCCAUUGACAAAUACAAGAAAGUACUGGAAGUUAGCACAGUGGGCAUUUUCAGCUAAAUCUGGUUUCUCUUUUCCCAGAGAAGAGUACUUAAAAAAAUGGAAAAAAGUAGUCUUUGGAGAAGGACACUUUUAACAAGAUCUUUUCUGUUUGCUUCAUUCCCUUGUGAGGGUUCAGAGCACUGGAAUUUCUGUAGGACUCUGUUUGAAAAUAAGCAGUUAAUGAAAAGGUAUGGGCAUGGCUUACUACCCUAAACUAGUCCUCUUAGAAUAUCCUGGGAUUUGCCAAAGCACUAAAUGACGUUGGCAUAGAACACUUUAAGGGAAAAGUCACCUUUAUUCUUUGCUUUUCAGUAUUUAGAAAUGUAGCUUCAGUUUCCUUUGUGUUUUUUGUAUGAAAGAAAUUCAUUUUGAAUAGAGAUGGGUCCAUUUCUUUAGUUUUGAUCUCAAUGGAUACCGAAGCUGGACUGCUGCGCCUUCCAACUCUUGCAAUUUCUAGGGGAAGAGAGGGCAGCCAGGUUUAGAUGAAGGGGACUGAGCAGUAGCAAAAAAAAAAAAAAAAAAAAAAAGCUUAACACGGAGAAUCUCAGUUUCUGAGACUAGCAGUGUUAAUGUAAUGCUUUGCUAUUUCUAUAAGAACUAUACACAAUUAGAACUUUGCUGACAGUCUAGGCUACCUUAUUUAUUUCCAAGUCAACAAAAUUCCAUGCUCCAGUGAACCUUCUAAACAGCCAUUGUAACACGUGAGUCUAUUGUGUGCCUCUUGAAGACAAACCCAUUCAGAUGCCCAGGUUUAGGCAGAACGUUGCAGACACUUGAUGCCAGAGAACGUGUGCUACUCAGUGGAGAAUAUGAUCCUUGGAGAUCACAGGAGAACACCUAUCAUUCAAUGCCACAUCAGAGCCAGCCAAUCUAGUGCAUGCAGUGACAUGGAUUUUUACUUUCUACUGAAGAUCCUACGCACUAUGAGAUUCACAAUGAGUAUCUGGAAGUGUGCUGUCAAGUGCCAAUUAGUGAUGUUGCUGACCCAAAAGAUAAAGAAGAUCAUAGAAGAAGCAGCCCAGUAUAAUUCUACACUCCAGUGUCCUUAAAGGAGACUCUCGUUUGUGAAUGUACUCCUGCAGAUGAAAGGGAAAUAGGAGAGCUCUCUAAUCCAGCACCUACCAGGAAUGUUCAGCUCUGUCUAUAUGAACCUGAAGACCACCUAGAAACAGAAGCUUCAGAUGUGCACAAGUCUCCAUCUUCAUUCUCUUCUACAGAUUUAGCUGAACUGAAGUGUUCAGAGUGAAACUGCCAGCUGGAAGAAAAAAGUCAGCUUAGUUACACUCAAGAUUUGCAUCACUUCAAAGACACUGAGGAUCAAGGAGGCCCACACCCUGUGCCCAGCUGAGAGAGAUGAAGAAACUAACAGUGUGGGAUGCUUCUCAAGAGCACAUCUCCCUCUCCCUGCACCCGCCCAGCAUUCCCAUUGCACAUGGGCACCAGUCACAGCUUCGGGCACAAGAAAUUCUGCUUUACUUCUCUGCCCACAUCGCUCAUAGGCAUGUUCAGAUAAGCUGAAGAUCUACCCUAUAGCAAGGGAAACAUACAUUAUUCUCAAUGUUACUUAUGCCAUCAGUGUUUUCAGGUUAAUUUGUAAAAAAAUAUGACCUGAAAGCCUAAGAUUGAGUUUCAAAUGAGACAGUUAAUUCAAGGCUUGGUUUAAUAAACCUAAUUUAUUAUGUGAGAUAACAGAGUUCUGCAAUUGACUGCACAGCUUCAUGGCUGAAGUUAGUAAUUCCUAUGAAUAAUGCUGCUAAAAGUAUUAUGUAGUCAGUCUGCAGCAGUCAGAUGUGGUGCCUCGACAGCAGCUAUCUGCUGUUAUUGCUAAAAUGUGGAAAAAACAAGAGGAUGAAUCAUCUCAGCUGUAAAUAACUGAGUUGCAGGGGCACAGCUGGAGCAUUACGGCUCCCUACUCUUGCACAGCCCUUCCUAUAGCUGCUGCAGCGUGCCACUAUUGAGGGCCAAAGAUGAAGAAGUUCUGUAACUUGCUGCUGCCAUGUUUGCAAAAAAGCAUACUCUUUUCUCUAGCAUUUCUGAGUCUGGUGUCUUGGUCUUAGUGUCUAUGUUUAAAGCAUAACUGUAGCACUUCUGGAUACCACCCUCAGUAGAUGAAAAUGUACAAUGUUGUAAUAAAGGUAUAAAGCACUGCAAUAUGCUGGCAAUGCCAGAACCAAGGCCAGGUAAAUGAGUUUACCCAGAGGGUACUUCUAGGAGUGCAGGAAAAUGCUUAAUUCCGAUAGAAUAAUUAGAAGACUGAAAGGAGGAAAAAGAAAAAAGAAAAAAAGAGUUAUUUGAGUGAAUAGAAGUGAGGUUUUCUCAUGUACAAGGGCUUAAAUGACACUGUAAUUUUUCUCCUGAGAAGCUGCAAAGCUGGCCAAGCACAAUUCUGAAUGAUUUGCCUACAACGCAUAAGGUAUAAGAUACCGCUUUUAAGUCAGAUGCACCAGUAAUCCUUUCUCCUAUAGUAGUUUCCCCAUCUCCUGUUUUACAUCUCACACUACUGUGAUUAUACAGAUUAUAAUCCAUUUAGAAGUGUAUUUAAAAAGCAGCAUCAAAAACAUUUUGAAAUACAAUCUGGUAUUGCAGUCAACAGUCAGAAGGUGGGACAAGUGCAACAAUUUUGUGGAAAAUGCAUGUGAGCUUUGCUCUCAUUUCUACUUCAGCUACUCAUUUCUACAACAUUGCUACUCACAGGUAUAAAAAUCUGGGAGGGUGAAAGUAGUUAGAAUCUGAAAUUAAACAAAAAUUCCCUAAGAGAGUGUAUGAUAUCUGCAUCUUCAGUUGCAUCUUCAUUACAAUCGUAAGCAAGAACACGCCUGUCAGACUCACAGCGAGGGCUGUCUGUAGCGUGCAUUACCUGGAGGAAAGCAUCCAUGCAGCGCAGGGCGUUUGAUGAGAAACUCAGCAGCACGCAGGACCUGCUGCUCAGAGCCUGCUGGUACGCUCGCCCCACAGCACCACCGCAGCAGAUGGGGACAGCAGACAGGGCAGCGAUGCUGUGGGGAAGGUGGCUUCUUCGUAACACUUCCACUUCAAGCAACUUCGUGUCAGCAGUCAAAGUUACUGGUUCAUGGAGUAGUGGCCUCCUGAAAAUUGCUGCAGGACUGACAUAGCUGUUAGUUUAUCUGGCUAGCUUUAAUAAAUGGAUGUGAUACUAUAAGGCUUGCUAAGGGAUGCUGGCUCUCUAUGCACAGCAGAAUGGUUGGGUUAGUGGAUUUUCAUACUGAUUUUCCAUUGCUUCAGUGAGAUAAAAAUGAACCUGGAAAAAUGUAGGAGACAUAACCACCUUUUUUUUUUUUUUCCUGCGUUUGUUAAUAUCAUGAUGUGCUAAUGCACUUCAUAACAAACGCUAAUAUUCAAACUACAGAAAAAAUUAUAGUAUUUCUAUUUAAUUAAUAGUUGGAUAUGAAAAAAUGAAUGGGCAUUCCCCAGCCUGAGCUGCACAGAAGAAAAAGACUUUUCAGUACAUUCUUUGACAGUAAACCUUCGUCUUAUCCUUCCAGGUGGGAAAGUAUUUUUGUUUUUUUUUUUUCAUGUUUUUAAUCAUCCUGCAGACCUCUCAGCUGACAGCCACUCCUUUAUUCAUGAGCCUAUGUAUUAAGGAUGAUACAACCUCUUAAUAACCUUAAUCAGGUUAUUUUUUAUUGUGUUUUAAUUCAUUAUAAUCCCAGUAAGUCUGUGGAAACCUGUGGAAUUAAAAUUUGUUUCUUUAAUGGCUUAUCUUUAAAACAGUAGGUACAAUCGGCAUUAAAUUAUUAUUUGUCAAGAAAGAAACACAUACAUUGGUAAGAAAAAACUUUACAAUGAUAGAUCUCAAGGUUUUAUUUAAAGGAAACAAAACAAAAUCUAUAAGGGGUUGCCCUUUCUCCUUAGUUUGAACUCACAAGGUAAUGCUAAUUUGUCACUAACUCUUCAAGUUUCUACUUUAUAGCUACUCCAAGAACAUCUUUUGGCAACAUCUAAGAUGUCCUUCUGCGUACAAUUAGUCAGUAUGUUGCUUGGCAAGUGAGUUGUGAUACAGAUCCCAGUAUGUACAUCACGGUAUUGGUGUUGGGUAUUCGACUGCUGGUCAGUGAGACUGCAGUGUAAGCACAGUGGUCAGUUCUCCCCUAUAGUUUAAGUCUAAUGUAAGAGUCCAAAAAAAACAAAAACAAACAAAAAAACCCAACAACAACAACAAAAAACAACAACAAAGCAAAACCAAAUUGUGAAAGAAGAAUCUCAAAAAAAAAAAGAAAAAAUCCCCCAAAUUAAGAUUUUUUCUUUUUUUAAAUUUUAAAUAUCU
Molecule: long non-coding RNA, 6342 nt
Organism: Tympanuchus pallidicinctus (lesser prairie-chicken)
Lineage: Eukaryota; Metazoa; Chordata; Aves; Galliformes; Phasianidae
Exons: 10
Source: RefSeq, a predicted model, not a curated record